Molecule: unclassified non-coding RNA, 350 nt
Filed under: soil metagenome
Description: partial contains 5.8S ribosomal RNA, internal transcribed spacer 2, and large subunit ribosomal RNA
Rfam family: 5.8S ribosomal RNA (bases 1-120)
Source: RNAcentral
GAUGAAGAACGCAGCGAACUGCGAUAAGUAAUGUGAAUUGCAGAAUUCAGUGAAUCAUCGAGUCUUUGAACGCACAUUGCGCCCCCUGGCAUUCCGGGGGGCAUGCCUGUCCGAGCGUCAUUGCUGCCCUUCAAGCCCGGCUUGUGUGUUGGGUCGUCGUCCCCCCCGGGGGACGGGCCCGAAAGGCAGCGGCGGCACCGCGUCCGGUCCUCGAGCGUAUGGGGCUUUGUCACCCGCUCGAUUAGGGCCGGCCGGGCGCCAGCCGGCGUCUCCAACCUUCUAUUUUACCAGGUUGACCUCGCAUCAGGUAGGGAUACCCGCUGAACUUAAGCAUAUCAAUAAGCGGAGGA